AGUCGAGCGAUGAAUCCUUCGGGAUGGAUUAGCGGCGGACGGGUGAGUAACACGUGGGUAACCUGCCUCAAAGAGGGGAAUAGCCUCCCGAAAGGGAGAUUAAUACCGCAUAAUAUGUUUUAAUCGCAUGAUUGAAACAUCAAAGGAGUAAUCCGCUUUGAGAUGGACCCGCGGCGCAUUAGCUAGUUGGUGAGGUAACGGCUCACCAAGGCGACGAUGCGUAGCCGACCUGAGAGGGUGAUCGGCCACAUUGGAACUGAGACACGGUCCAGACUCCUACGGGAGGCAGCAGUGGGGAAUAUUGCGCAAUGGGGGAAACCCUGACGCAGCAACGCCGCGUGAAUGAUGAAGGCCUUCGGGUUGUAAAGUUCUGUCUUCUGGGACGAUAAUGACGGUACCAGAGGAGGAAGCCACGGCUAACUACGUGCCAGCAGCCGCGGUAAUACGUAGGUGGCAAGCGUUGUCCGGAUUUACUGGGCGUAAAGGAUGCGUAGGCGGACAUUUAAGUCAGAUGUGAAAUACCCGAGCUUAAACUUGGGUGCUGCAUUUGAAACUGGGUGUCUAGAGUGCAGGAGAGGUAAGUGGAAUUCCUAGUGUAGCGGGUGAAAUGCGUAAAAGAUUAAGAAGAACACCAGUGGCGAAAGCGACUUAACUGGGCUGUAACUGACGCUGAGGCAUGAAAAGCGGUGGGGAAGCAAACCAGGAUUAGAUACCCUGGGUAGUCCACGCCGUAACGAUGAAUACUAAGUGUUCGGGGGUUCGAACCUCGGGUGCCGCAGUUAACACAAUAAGUAUUCCGCCUGGGGGAGUACGAUCGCAAGAUUAAACUCAAGGGAUUUGACGGGGGCCCGCACAGCAGCGGAG
RNAcentral lists this ribosomal RNA (864 nucleotides) under uncultured bacterium. Its description in RNAcentral is "bacterial SSU rRNA". It matches the Rfam family "Bacterial small subunit ribosomal RNA", at positions 60 to 937 of the family's 1533-position model. The record is from RNAcentral.